UACAGAGACUGCAAGCGUUAUUCGGAUUCACUGGGCGUAAAGGGUGCGCAGGCGGCCAAGUGUGUUAGGCGUGAAAGCCCGAGGCUUAACCUCGGAAUUGCACCUAAAACUACAUGGCUAGAGUACUGGAGAGGGUAACGGAAUUCACGGUGUAGCGGUGAAAUGCGCAGAUAUCGGGAAGAACACCCGUGGCGAAGGCGGCUCUCUGGGACGGUACUGACGCUGAGACGCGAAAGCGUGGGGAGCGAACAGG
This 253-nucleotide ribosomal RNA is filed under the name uncultured bacterium. RNAcentral's name for it is "partial 16S ribosomal RNA". It matches the Rfam family "Bacterial small subunit ribosomal RNA", at positions 524 to 776 of the family's 1533-position model. The record is from RNAcentral.